RNAcentral lists this ribosomal RNA (510 nucleotides) under uncultured bacterium. RNAcentral's name for it is "bacterial SSU rRNA". It matches the Rfam family "Bacterial small subunit ribosomal RNA", at positions 29 to 532 of the family's 1533-position model. The record is from RNAcentral.
AUUGAACGCUGGCGGCAUGCUUUACACAUGCAAGUCGAACGGUAACAGGGAGCUUGCUCCGCUGACGAGUGGCGAACGGGUGAGUAAUGCAUCGGAACGUACCCAGUCGUGGGGGAUAACGUAGCGAAAGUUACGCUAAUACCGCAUACGUCCUGAGGGAGAAAGCGGGGGACCGUAAGGCCUCGCGCGAUUGGAGCGGCCGAUGUCGGAUUAGCUAGUUGGUAGGGUAAAGGCCUACCAAGGCGACGAUCCGUAGCGGGUCUGAGAGGAUGAUCCGCCACACUGGGACUGAGACACGGCCCAGACUCCUACGGGAGGCAGCAGUGGGGAAUUUUGGACAAUGGGCGAAAGCCUGAUCCAGCCAUGCCGCGUGAGUGAAGAAGGCCUUCGGUUGUAAGCUCUUUCAGCCGGAAAGAAAUACGCGCAGGAUAAUAACUCUGCGUGGAUGACGGUACCGGAACGAAGAAGACACCGGCUAACUAACGUGCCAGCAGCCGCGGUAAACGUCGU